GAUGAAGAACGCAGCGAAAUGCGAUAAGUAGUGUGAAUUGCAGAAUUCAGUGAAUCAUCGAAUCUUUGAACGCACAUUGCGCCCCUUGGUAUCCCGAGGGGCAUGCCUGUUCGAGCGUCAUUUCACCACUCAAGCCUGGCUUGGUGUUGGGCGACGUCCUCUUUGGGGACGCGCCUCGAAACGCUCGGCGGCGUGGCACCGGCUUUAAGCGUAGCAGAAUCUUUCGCUUUGGAAGUCGGGGCCCCGUCUGCCGGAAGACCUGCUCGCUAGGUUGACCUCGGAUCAGGCAGGGAUACCCGCUGAACUUAAGCAUAUCAAUAAGCGGAGGA
This 329-nucleotide unclassified non-coding RNA is filed under the name soil metagenome. Its description in RNAcentral is "partial contains 5.8S ribosomal RNA, internal transcribed spacer 2, and large subunit ribosomal RNA". The stretch from base 1 to 120 matches the Rfam family "5.8S ribosomal RNA", at positions 35 to 154 of the family's 154-position model. The record is from RNAcentral.